GAUGAACGCUGGCGGCGUGCCUAAUACAUGCAAGUCGAGCGAACAGAUAAGGAGCUUGCUCCUUUGACGUUAGCGGCGGACGGGUGAGUAACACGUGGGUAACCUACCUAUAAGACUGGAAUAACUCCGGGAAACCGGGGCUAAUGCCGGAUAACAUGUUGAACCGCAUGGUUCUACAGUGAAAGGCGGCUUUGCUGUCACUUAUAGAUGGACCCGCGCCGUAUUAGCUAGUUGGUGAGGUAACGGCUCACCAAGGCAACGAUACGUAGCCGACCUGAGAGGGUGAUCGGCCACACUGGAACUGAGACACGGUCCAGACUCCUACGGGAGGCAGCAGUAGGGAAUCUUCCGCAAUGGGCGAAAGCCUGACGGAGCAACGCCGCGUGAGUGAUGAAGGCCUUCGGAUCGUAAAACUCUGUUAUUAGGGAAGAACAAAUGCGUAAGUAACUGUGCGCGUCUUGACGGUACCUAAUCAGAAAGCCACGGCUAACUACGUG
Molecule: ribosomal RNA, 497 nt
Filed under: uncultured bacterium
Lineage: Bacteria
Description: partial 16S ribosomal RNA
Rfam family: Bacterial small subunit ribosomal RNA
Source: RNAcentral